GACGAACGCUGGCGGCGUGCCUAAUACAUGCAAGUUGAGCGCUGAAGGUUGGUACUUGUACCAACUGGAUGAGCAGCGAACGGGUGAGUAACGCGUGGGUAAUCUGCCUUUGAGCGGGGGAUAACAUUUGGAAACGAAUGCUAAUACCGCAUAAAAACUUUAAACACAAGUUUUAAGUUUGAAAGAUGCAAUUGCAUCACUCAAAGAUGAUCCCGCGUUGUAUUAGCUAGUUGGUGAGGUAAAGGCUAACCAAGGCGAUGAUACAUAGCCGACCUGAGAGGGUGGACGGCCAAAAUGGGACCGGGGCACGGCCCCAACCCCUACGGGAGGCAACCAUAAGGGAUCUUCGGCAAAGGGCGGAAGUCCGACCGGAGCACGCCCGCUGGAUGAAGGAGGUUUUCGGAUCGUAAAACUCUGGUUAUUGGGGAGGACGAAGGGGGGAGUGAACAGCUCAUCAAGUGACGGUAACUACCCAGAAAGGGACGGCUAACUACGUG
This 497-nucleotide ribosomal RNA is filed under the name uncultured bacterium. RNAcentral describes it as "partial 16S ribosomal RNA". It matches the Rfam family "Bacterial small subunit ribosomal RNA", at positions 28 to 507 of the family's 1533-position model. The record is from RNAcentral.